UUGCAAUAGCGAUAGAAACGGCCAUCCUUUUGUUUUUAUUGGAUUUAGCUAAGGCCAAAACAAAAGAUAAUAGUGGAUAGCGCAACCCUGG
Molecule: small RNA, 91 nt
Filed under: Epilithonimonas zeae
Lineage: Bacteria; Pseudomonadati; Bacteroidota; Flavobacteriia; Flavobacteriales; Weeksellaceae
Description: Chryseobacterium zeae Flavo-1 RNA
Rfam family: Flavo-1 RNA
Source: RNAcentral